Musa acuminata AAA Group (dessert banana) is the source of this 868-nucleotide RNA transcript. It is a transcript of the gene named succinate dehydrogenase subunit 6, mitochondrial, with no coding region annotated. Lineage: Eukaryota; Viridiplantae; Streptophyta; Magnoliopsida; Zingiberales; Musaceae. The record is from RefSeq and is a predicted model, not a curated record. The transcript has 5 exons.
UCUUCGGCUUCCGAGAUCAGCCGACGGAGAGAGACUGAGAAGCGAUUGGAAGAAAGAGAGGAGGUAGCUGAUGGCUGAAGGCUCAGAUUCGUCGGCGAUGGGGUUCUUGGGGAGGCACUACGAGGAGGUGAAGGAGCACUGGAAGAAUAAUUUUGCUUUCUUGGACUACUACAAGAAGACCUUCGGCCGCAGGAAGCCGCUCCCCAAGUGGACCGAUGCCGACGUCGAGGAGUUCAUCGCCUCCGAUCCCGUCUACGGCCCCCAGUUGAAGGAUAUAAGGGAAUCGAGGAAGUAUGCAAUUUUUGGAGCUCUACUUGGUGCAGCACAUCUAGGUGGAGUUUCCUUGAGAUACUCGAAGAGCCCUCAUGGCUUUGUUUUGGCUACUGGGUUUGGAGCCCUCUGUGGUGGUGUCUUGGGACUGGAAGUUGCUGAACAUUGGAAGCAGCUCUACAAGAUUGAUAAGCAGGCUGCGAAUCUCAGGUUCCUUUACUGGUGGGAGGACAAAACUCUAGGCAAAGUUAUCACUGGUACAACCAGAGAAGGUCAAAAUUAAUACUUGGACAAUGGUCUCAUGAGGCUGCGGAUUGAACGCAGGAAAAUACAUGCUGUCAAAUAGGACCUCAUUCUAGUUGAGAGCAUUAGCUUUUGGUCCUACCUGCAAUAAAAUGGAAAUCAAAGAAACUGAUCUUUGCUCAGGCAGCUUAAUCUCUUGCUUGUUGAAAUCACUUGACGGAGUGAAGCCUUGUCAGAAAGAAGUAGUAAAAUAAUUUCCCCUUUUCAGAAUAAAAUAGUAGCUGUGAUGUUGACGUCCAGUUAAACUGAGCAUUUUUUACAUUGAACGAAAUUUAUAUCCUCAUGAUUCCAUUAA